RNAcentral lists this microRNA precursor (96 nucleotides) under Octodon degus (degu). Its description in RNAcentral is "miRNA (ENSODEG00000022273.1)". Lineage: Eukaryota; Metazoa; Chordata; Mammalia; Rodentia; Octodontidae. The record is from RNAcentral.
UUUUCCUUUAAGACACUGCCACUGGGCUGGGGAGAUGGCUCAGUGGAAUAAGCACUUCCUUGGCAAGCGCAAGGGCCUGAGUUCAAUUCCCAGUUC